AACGGGUGAGUAACACGUAUCCAACCUACCCUUAAGUUGGGGAUAACUAGUCGAAAGAUUAGCUAAUACCGAAUAAUAACAUCAAUAUCGCAAUGAGAAGAUGUAGAAAGUCGCGUUUGCGACGCUUUUGGAUGGGGGUGCGACGUAUCAGAUAGUUGGUGAGGGUAAUGGCUCACCAAGUCAAUGAUGUUUAGCCGGGUCGAGAGACUGAACGGCCACAUUGGGACUGAGAUACGGCCCAAACUCCUACGGGAGGCAGCAGUU
This 264-nucleotide ribosomal RNA is filed under the name uncultured Ureaplasma sp. Its description in RNAcentral is "partial 16S ribosomal RNA". It matches the Rfam family "Bacterial small subunit ribosomal RNA", at positions 101 to 355 of the family's 1533-position model. Lineage: Bacteria; Bacillati; Mycoplasmatota; Mycoplasmoidales; Mycoplasmoidaceae. The record is from RNAcentral.